This is a non-coding RNA of Pelobates cultripes (western spadefoot toad), 531 nucleotides long. The record is from the annotation of a GenBank genome assembly. Lineage: Eukaryota; Metazoa; Chordata; Amphibia; Anura; Pelobatidae.
CGGUGGAGGAGGAAGCAGCGGUGGAGGAGGAGGAUGAGGCAGCCAACACUGUUUAUAUAUAUAUGUAUAUAUAUAUAUAUAUAUAUAUAUAUAUAUAUUUAUAUUUUAAUUGGAGUAGCCCCCAAAUAUUGGAACAUAUAAAAAAAGACAACGCUGUUCCGCAGAGUAGCUGUUGACAUUAUAGUUGCGCAGAAACUUUGUUGACUCUAGAGAACCUCGGGCAAAUCGCACAUCCCCGUGGCGACGACUUUGCAUGCGGAUGUCAUCCAUAUCAACUUUCGAUGGCAGUUUCUGCGCCUACCAUGGUGACAACGGGUAACAUGGAAUCAGGGUUCCAUUCCGUACAGGGAACCUCAGAAACGGCUACCACAUGCAAGCAAGGUAGCAGGCGCGCAAAUUACCCACUCCCGACACGGGAAGGUAGUGACGACAAAUAACAAUACAGGGUUUUAGAGGCCCUGUAAUUGUAAUGGGUCCACUUGAAAUCCUUUAACUCUGAUCAACUGGAGGGAAGUCUGGUGCAGCGCCACU